AUACGGAGGGUGCAAGCGUUAAUCGGAAUUACUGGGCGUAAAGCGUACGUAGGCGGUUAUUUAAGUCAGAUGUGAAAGCCCCGGGCUUAACUUAGGAACUGCAUUUGAAACUGGGUAACUAGAGUUUAGUAGAGGGGAGUGGAAUUUCAGGUGUAGCGGUGAAAUGCGUAGAGAUCUGAAGGAACACCAGUGGCGAAGGCGACUCCCUGGACUAAAACUGACGCUGAGGUACGAAAGCGUGGGUAGCAAACAGGAUUAGAAACCCCAGUAGUCC
This 274-nucleotide ribosomal RNA is filed under the name uncultured bacterium. RNAcentral's name for it is "partial 16S ribosomal RNA". It matches the Rfam family "Bacterial small subunit ribosomal RNA", at positions 523 to 796 of the family's 1533-position model. The record is from RNAcentral.